RNAcentral lists this ribosomal RNA (253 nucleotides) under uncultured bacterium. RNAcentral's name for it is "partial 16S ribosomal RNA". It matches the Rfam family "Bacterial small subunit ribosomal RNA", at positions 524 to 776 of the family's 1533-position model. The record is from RNAcentral.
UACGUAGGGAGCAAGCGUUGUCCGGAAUCAUUGGGCGUAAAGCGCGCGUAGGUGGCCUCGUAAGUCCGCUGUGAAAGUCAAAGGCUCAACCUUUGAAAGCCGGUGGAUACUGUCGGGCUUGAGUACGGAAGAGGCGAGUGGAAUUCCUGGUGUAGCGGUGAAAUGCGCAGAUAUCAGGAGGAACACCAAUUGCGAAGGCAGCUCGCUGGGACGUUACUGACGCUGAGACGCGAAAGCGUGGGGAGCAAACAGG